AAGAGACGGGAGAGAGAGAGACAAGGAAGACAGAAGAGAGAGAGACGGGAGAGAGAGAGAGAGAGAGACAGGGGAGACCACACAAGAGGCAUGUUGGACACAAAGCAGACACAGGGCUGAGGAUCUAGGCAAAGUACAUCAUGGUUCUACAGUCAGUCUAGGUGUUGCUGUCGCGUCGUCAGGUGUUGCUGCCGCGUCGUCAGGUGUUGCUGCCGUGUCGUCAGGUGUUGCUGCCG
This is a long non-coding RNA of Oncorhynchus keta (chum salmon), 236 nucleotides long. RefSeq lists it as uncharacterized. Lineage: Eukaryota; Metazoa; Chordata; Actinopteri; Salmoniformes; Salmonidae. The transcript is spliced from 3 exons. The record is from RefSeq and is a predicted model, not a curated record.